GACGAACGCUGGCGGCGUGCUUAACACAUGCAAGUCGAACGGAAAGGCCCUGCUUGCAGGGUACUCGAGUGGCGAACGGGUGAGUAACACGUGGGUGAUCUGCCCUGCACUUCGGGAUAAGCCUGGGAAACUGGGUCUAAUACCGGAUAGGAGCCAUUUUUAGUGUGAUGGUUGGAAAGUUUUUUCGGUGUAGGAUGAGCUCGCGGCCUAUCAGCUUGUUGGUGGGGUAAUGGCCUACCAAGGCGGCGACGGGUAGCCGGCCUGAGAGGGUGGACGGCCACAUUGGGACUGAGAUACGGCCCAGACUCCUACGGGAGGCAGCAGUGUGGAAUAUUGCACAAUGGGCGCAAGCCUGAUGCAGCGACGCCGCGUGGGGGAUGACGGCCUUCGGGUUGUAAACUCCUUUCGCUAGGGACGAAGCUUUUUGUGACGGUACCUAGAUAAGAAGCACCGGCUAACUACGUG
Molecule: ribosomal RNA, 465 nt
Filed under: uncultured bacterium
Lineage: Bacteria
Description: partial 16S ribosomal RNA
Rfam family: Bacterial small subunit ribosomal RNA
Source: RNAcentral